GAUGAACGCUGGCGGCGUGCCUAAUACAUGCAAGUCGAGCGAACAGACGAGGAGCUUGCUCCUCUGACGUUAGCGGCGGACGGGUGAGUAACACGUGGAUAACCUACCUAUAAGACUGGGAUAACUUCGGGAAACCGGAGCUAAUACCGGAUAAUAUAUUGAACCGCAUGGUUCAAUAGUGAAAGACGGUUUUGCUGUCACUUAUAGAUGGAUCCGCGCCGCAUUAGCUAGUUGGUAAGGUAACGGCUUACCAAGGCGACGAUGCGUAGCCGACCUGAGAGGGGGGGUGGCCCCCCGGGGCACUGCACCCGGCUCAGGCCCCCGCGGGGCGGAGCAAGGAGGGAUUCUCCCGAAGUGGGGAAAGGUUGACCGGGCAACCCCGGGGGGAGUAAUAAGGUUCUGGGGACCGAAAACCUUUUUUAUGGGGGAAAAAAAAAUGUGUAAGUAACUAUGCACGUCUUGACGGUCCUUAAUAAAAAAGCCCCGGCAAACUACGUC
Molecule: ribosomal RNA, 498 nt
Filed under: uncultured bacterium
Lineage: Bacteria
Description: partial 16S ribosomal RNA
Rfam family: Bacterial small subunit ribosomal RNA
Source: RNAcentral